RNAcentral lists this ribosomal RNA (703 nucleotides) under Oxalobacteraceae bacterium. RNAcentral describes it as "bacterial SSU rRNA". It matches the Rfam family "Bacterial small subunit ribosomal RNA", at positions 72 to 771 of the family's 1533-position model. The record is from RNAcentral. Lineage: Bacteria; Pseudomonadati; Pseudomonadota; Betaproteobacteria; Burkholderiales; Oxalobacteraceae.
CGCGGGGCAACCUGGCGGCGAGUGGCGAACGGGUGAGUWWUAUAUCGGAACGURCCCUGGAGUGGGGGAUAACGUAGCGAAAGUUACGCUAAUACCGCAUACGAUCUAAGGAUGAAAGUGGGGGCUUCGCAAGAACCUCAUGCUCCUGGAGCGGCCGAUAUCUGAUUAGCUAGUUGGUAGGGUAAAAGCCUACCAAGGCUUCGAUCAGUAGCUGGUCUGAGAGGACGACCAGCCACACUGGAACUGAGACACGGUCCAGACUCCUACGGGAGGCAGCAGUGGGGAAUUUUGGACAAUGGGCGCAAGCCUGAUCCAGCAAUGCCGCGUGAGUGAAGAAGGCCUUCGGGUUGUAAAGCUCUUUUGUCAGGGAAGAAACGGUGAGGGCUAAUAUCCCUUGCUAAUGACGGUACCUGAAGAAUAAGCACCGGCUAACUACGUGCCAGCAGCCGCGGUAAUACGUAGGGUGCAAGCGUUAAUCGGAAUUACUGGGCGUAAAGCGUGCGCAGGCGGUUUUGUAAGUUUGUCGUGAAAGCCCCGGGCUCAACCUGGGAAUUGCGAUGAAGACUGCAAGGCUUGAAUCUGGCAGAGGGGGGUAGAAUUCCACGUGUAGCAGUGAAAUGCGUAGAGAUGUGGAGGAACACCGAUGGCGAAGGCAGCCCCCUGGGUCAAGAUUGACGCUCAUGCACGAAAGCGUGGGGAGCAA